UACGGAGGGUGCAAGCGUUAUCCGGAUUCACUGGGUUUAAAGGGUGCGUAGGUGGGUAGGUAAGUCAGUGGUGAAAUCCCCGAGCUUAACUUGGGAACUGCCGUUGAUACUAUCUAUCUUGAAUAUCGCGUAGGUAAGCGGAAUAUGUCAUGUAGCGGUGAAAUGCUUAGAUAUGACAUAGAACACCAAUUGCGAAGGCAGCUUACUUCACGAUUAUUGACACUGAGGCGCGACAGCGUGGGGAGCAAACAGG
Molecule: ribosomal RNA, 253 nt
Filed under: uncultured bacterium
Lineage: Bacteria
Description: partial 16S ribosomal RNA
Rfam family: Bacterial small subunit ribosomal RNA
Source: RNAcentral